UUGGGAGUGUUACUACAACAACAAUGUCCCUCAUAAAACGAUCCAGCAACUCCAGUUUGAGCCCUGGUUUAAUCAUACCAUGUAAACAAUGAUGAUGAAGUUCAAGUGAAGCAUUAGGUCCCUGCGAUUGCUGAGUCAUCUGGAAAAAGCAGCGCUCUCGCAUUCUUUAUUCUUGGGUAAUGCAGCAUAAGAGGACUUCCAUUUUUAGCUUUACGGCAAAUUACAUUAAGCCUCAGUUCAGUGAGCCCUAAUGCUUUGAAAGUAACAAAAAUCGACGGAGAGGGAUAAAAGUUUUUUGAUAUUGCUCAGACUUUCUCCCGGAAAGGCCUCCUUUAUACCUCCUCCCUGCCGCUGAGCGGGAAAAGAAUGGGUUAAACCUGUCUGCGGCCCACAUCUGGGAAUCAUUUGAAACAUUCCACAAGGCUUACCACAUGUUUUCAGAUGGACUAAAUCCUGCGAAAGGCUCGGCUGUCAGAGGUGAGAUUAGGUAAGGAUGUUGGUGGGUUUGCAGGGCGGUCCCUGUGUGUGGCAGCGGCGAUGGUGGUGGUAAUGUGCGUGGAAAUGUGUGUUUCUAUGUCCUCUUGCAUGUUGGUGGCAUGUUAUUCGAAUGUGUUCUGAGUGAAUGCUGUUUGCAGUUCAAAGGAGGCUUUGGGACUUGGCUAACUGUUUCCAUGCGGCUGAUACAAUCUCAUCUGCCCCCUCUUUCUUCCCCUUGCUCAUUUCUUCUUUAUACUUCACAACCUAGCACCAUAAAGUGAAUCAGUGUGAAAGCUAUGUAGCUUUUCAGCACUCCUAUCCGGACACACUUACAGACUCGGGUAGCUACUUUUCAGCAUUCAAAUGGUGUGACAUCUUAUUGUGAUGUAUCCAGAAAAGCUAUUUUAUUAAGCAAGAUCAUGUAGCCUUCAGUCUUGCCAUGAAGACCUCUCCAUGGAGGCUGCUUGACGGUUUCACGAUUACACUCCACUACAGAUGACAAGCUAAUAAAGGGGAGUCGCAGAGUGAUGAAUGGUUGGCUGCUGGGAGUUCCAAAUAAAUAUGCGGUUUUAAGAAGGCAGCAGCAGACUUGAUGAAUUAAAAGUCAAGGGACUCUGUGGAUGGGGAUUGACCACCAAGCCUUGGCACCUUCACGGUUCUCUCUCUUACACCAGUCCUCAGAUCCUCUCCAAAUGCAUACCCAAGAAAGGCUGGUAGACUGCUGGCCUUUCUGACGUCAGGUGAAUGGGCUCUCAUGUUGCCCUGGUGUGUUAGACGCCGCCUCUGUAAUUGUCAACUGACAUUUGGGGAACUGGAAAUGUUUCUCUUGGGUGUGGGUGACACUGUAUGCAGAGGAGGGGCCCCCUGCCUCUCUGUCACCCACUCUUUUUUUCUGUGAACCAGACCGUGACAUGUGGUAUGUGGACCCAUGCUGGGGGUGAAAGCAUUGAUCAGGCUGGCUAAUGUUACCACACUUUGGAAAUAGCACUGGACUUUCACACUAGACAGUAAAUAGGCACCCGACGUUUAGAGGCGGAAACUGAGCACCUGCCAUGGGGCCCACCAGGUGCCUUGUAAAAUGAAACAUGAGAGAGACACUCACUCUACAGUCCUGUAACAAUGACCAUCUACAGGGACUAUUUCAUGUUAUGGUUUUGAUAGGAGGGGAUCACAGGAUUAAGGCAGCUCUGUGAGACCACUGAGAACACUGGAUCUUAAAGCAUCUCAGAUUUUGUCUGUAUUAAGUAAAGCAGUCGUUACAAAUCUUUUUUGUUCUGGUGACAAACAAAAUGUAACAUGCUAAUUUAUUAUUCAGAUUGUUAGCUUUAGCGGUUUCUAGCAGGUGGAUUUCGCUGUUGUUGGAUAAAACCAGACUAGCAAAGAAAAUAACUAGCUCUAGCUUCAUAUUUAGUAGUCUAUUCAUCUAGUUCUAUGCAAGACAGUGUAUAAGCUAUUCAUCCAAAAUGUCAACCUAUUCCUUUAAAAUAAAGCAAUGUCUACUGAUGACCCAUCAUUACUGGUUUGCUUAUGGUUGCGGACUGUGACCAGUUCAACCAGACAUUUUUUCCCCCCUUACUUUAUUUGAUAAAUUACUUGCAGAGGACUAAAUUGGUAAAACGACCCAACUAUCCAAACAAAAAACUAACAUUAGAGGACAUUAGUUUUGUUUGUUUAUAUUUACAUUGUCUGACUCAUUCAGGGAUUCAGACCCUCAGGUUGGGAACCACUGACGUAAUGGAUAUAGCUCUCCCAAUUUAAAAAUAAUUUAGUCAGUGGUAAAUGUUCUAGUGGCCAAAAGCACAGACAGACAUUCUGUAUGCAUACUCUACUUAAUCCUUCAUAUCAAUGUCAGGCUUGUCUGUCACUUCCAGUCUCUCCUUGAAAGUCUUGAAAAUGGAGAAGGCAACUCUUCGAAGCAUGUCCAAACUCUGAUUUUCUAUCUCUGUACAGUAGCUAGACACCAAGCUAAUGCAUGUGCUUUACAAGCCACUGUGUCAAGCCUGACAUUGUGAAGGUUUGCUUGCAUGCAGUGAGGCUAUGUAAAGCUUUAAAUGGAACAUGCAUCACAUGGCUUUUCACUAUGUUUGACAUGUCAGUACAUAAGCUGUGCAGAGCAUGCUGCAAUUCAGUCUAUAUCUACAUCUCAGAGUAGAGGGGACUAGACUGGAAAGCCAUUAAGAUUCAACUCCAGUAACUUCCAGUGUAAACCUGGCUACAAGUGGAGGAUGCAGCUGGGCUAAGGAGACCCCAGAGGCCUUACUAUCCAACCUAGAGAUAUGUAGAGGAAACACAACACAACACAAUACAAAUCCCCACACUGCAGUUGAGUGAACGAGGGCGAACCCAUCCAGUUUGCAUGAACACAUUCUAUACACAUGCAUGCUGGGCCCCAGCUCCAGCUGUCAGAAGGCUGUGAAAUAAGACAGUUUCAUCUCUUCAACCAUGCUGCUAUGACAGCAGCUACUUCCACCAGUACAUACUUUUAGCAUUUCACAACUCCCUCUGUCCACGGUUACUCACAUGCCUGUAUGUCCCAUGUCACAACCCACCAAGCCCCCCAGCACUGCAUUCCUCACUUGUGUGGUGAUGUGUGACAACUGACACAGCUUAGUGCCACUCACAGCUUUUGUAUAAGAAAGCCUUAAAGGCAGCAGGGGAAACAAGGAGGAUACUGUCGCUCGCACCCUCUCUGUAGCAGUGUCAAUGCUCCGAGGAAAAAAAAGAUGAAAAGCAACUGAGAAGGUAACGUAGAGGCAAAGUAUGUCACUAGCUGUCUUAUGGCCUUUUGUCCAAUCAUAUGGGACAAGGGGUUUCACAUCUAGCACCUGUCACAAAACUUUGCUUUCUGGGGCGGAAAGCUAUUGAGUGUAGCAGUCAUAUCUGAGAGACAGAAGAGCACCUGUGCUUUCCCCUGGCAGCCAGCUCCUUCGCACGCAAACAUGCUCACAGAUGCACGCACUCCUUAACACCUUGUAUGCACACCUGUGUGCACAGUCACACCCACACGGGAGUAUACAUGGGAACAUUAAUGCCAAACAGUUAAUUGAAUUACUGAUCAAUCUGCUAUUUAUACUUUUAAUUAAACAAUUAUUUGCAUAGUCGAUAAACUGUGAACAAGGUACCGCAGCAUCAUUUGAUGUCUGUGGUGAAGAAUAAUUAUAAUAAUAUAAAAUAAUACUACACAAACAAUUUGGUUUGUGAACUUUCCUUGUUUUUUAAUGAACCAUGUACAGUAUCAUAUAAAUUAUCAGCUGUUAAAACAGACAAGAUGACAGCUAAUAAUUAAAAAGCAUCCAUCCAGACAUCCAUCACAAAAAAGAGGAAUAACACAGUAGAUCAUAUAUAAGAAAUCACACCACUAGUUAGAUGAUAGAAACAUGUAAAAACCAGCUAAAGCAUGUAAGAUAAUAAUAAAAUGCAGAAUUAGUGAGCACACAGUUUGAUUGCUUUAAGACAAAUGUAUAAUUUGGUUUAAAAUAUAAAAAGAGCUGCAGCUCUUAUGUGAUCUGAUAGAGAAUCUGUCUGAGUGGUAGAUUUAACAGAAGAAGCUCGCUGCUCAAAUGCAGUGUGACAAAAGGGUACAGCACAAUCUGUGAUGGAAGAUAUUUUAGAGCCUUUAAUGGUGUUCUCAGCAGGACGCGGAGGCAGAGUCACGCAACAGAGGACGGGCCAGAUUGUUUAAAAUUUUAUACAAAUGAUACAUAUUUGAAUAAAAUCUGAAAAUUCUCCAGUUUCUCUGGAGUCCCAUAGAGAUGAUAUGGAGUUGACAUUUUUAUCCAGGGCUUUUCAGGCUUGAAAAAAAGGGGAAAGGAAAACUAGAUUUUCUAUGGGAAGUUCCUGUAAAGCCUCUAUCAUACAUCACUUAUGAAAGAUGUAGUUUGGGAAUGAAGCCAUUAUUAUUACAACAGUAUGAAAUAUGUAGCACGGAAGUUCUGAUUUGUUGUUGGUUGUAUAACAAAUGCAUAAUUGUUGUGUUGGUGUUCUUACAUUCAAAAUGUAGUAUUCUUUCUGCAAAUGUUGAAUACAUUUCAUCCAUAUUUUGCCAAAAAUGUAACACAUUUUGCUGUGUUUUCCUUCGACUUGCUACACUUUCAGUUUCAAACCUGUAUUUGGUUGCAUUCGUUUUAAGAUAUCACAGGUUACGCAAUCACACAUUCACUGGAGACGCCACUUCACAUUAAAGCUUAAGUAUAAAGUUAGUUCAUUUGCAACUCAAGAAACUCGGGCUUUGGCUGCCAGACUGAGAACAGAUGGGAAAUAAGUAAGUACAUUUACACAAAUACUGCAAUUAAGUAAGAUUGUGAGGUAAUUGCAUUUUCCUUGAGUACUUCCAUUUUAUGAGACUUUAUACUACUUCUA
Long non-coding RNA from Morone saxatilis (striped sea-bass), 4836 nucleotides. RefSeq lists it as uncharacterized. NCBI's taxonomy places the organism in Eukaryota, Metazoa, Chordata, Actinopteri, Moronidae. The record is from RefSeq and is a predicted model, not a curated record. The transcript is spliced from 3 exons.